GAGUUUGAUCCUGGCUCAGGAUGAACGCUGGCGGCGUGCCUAAUACAUGCAAGUCGAGCGAACAGAUAAGGAGCUUGCUCCUUUGACGUUAGCGGCGGACGGGUGAGUAACACGUGGGUAACCUACCUAUAAGACUGGGAUAACUUCGGGAAACCGGAGCUAAUACCGGAUAACAUUUAGAACCGCAUGGUUCUAAAGUGAAAGAUGGUUUUGCUAUCACUUAUAGAUGGACCCGCGCCGUAUUAGCUAGUUGGUAAGGUAACGGCUUACCAAGGCGACGAUACGUAGCCGACCUGAGAGGGUGAUCGGCCACACUGGAACUGAGACACGGUCCAGACUCCUACGGGAGGCAGCAGUAGGGAAUCUUCCGCAAUGGGCGAAAGCCUGACGGAGCAACGCCGCGUGAGUGAUGAAGGGUUUCGGCUCGUAAAACUCUGUUAUUAGGGAAGAACAAAUGUGUAAGUAACUGUGCACAUCUUGACGGUACCUAAUCAG
This 495-nucleotide ribosomal RNA is filed under the name uncultured bacterium. RNAcentral's name for it is "bacterial SSU rRNA". It matches the Rfam family "Bacterial small subunit ribosomal RNA", at positions 9 to 486 of the family's 1533-position model. The record is from RNAcentral.